Molecule: ribosomal RNA, 519 nt
Filed under: uncultured bacterium
Lineage: Bacteria
Description: bacterial SSU rRNA
Rfam family: Bacterial small subunit ribosomal RNA
Source: RNAcentral
AAAGUCUUAGAGAUAAGACCCUUCUUCGGAACACGAAAACAGGUGCUGCAUGGUUGUCGUCAGCUCGUGUCGUGAGAUGUUAGGUUAAGUCCUGCAACGAGCGCAACCCUCAUAUACAGUUGCCAAUAUUCAGUUAGGAACUCUGUAUAGACUGCCGUGGUUAACACGGAGGAAGGUGGGGAUGACGUCAAAUCAUCACGGCCCUUACGGCCUGGGCUACACACGUGCUACAAUGGCUAUUACAAAGAGUUGCAAUACAGUAAUGUGGAGCGAAUCUCAAAAAGAUAGUCUCAGUUCGGAUUGUGGGCUGCAACCCGCCCACAUGAAGUCGGAGUUGCUAGUAAUCCCGAAUCAGCAUGUCGGGGUGAAUGCGUUCCCGGGUCUUGUACACACCGCCCGUCACGCCAUGGGAGUUGGGAGUGCCCAAAGUCGGUGACCUAACCGCAAGGAAGGAGCCGCCUAAGGUAAUACCAAUGACUGGGGUGAAGUCGUAACAAGGUAGCCGUAUCGGAAGGUGCG